GACGAACGCUGGCGGCGUGCUUAACACAUGCAAGUCGAACGAAGAGCGAUGGAAGCUUGCUUCUAUCAAUCUUAGUGGCGAACGGGUGAGUAACGCGUAAUCAACCUGCCCUUCAGAGGGGGACAACAGUUGGAAACGACUGCUAAUACCGCAUACGAUCUAAUCUCGGCAUCGAGGAUAGAUGAAAGGUGGCCUCUACAUGUAAGCUAUCACUGAAGGAGGGGAUUGCGUCUGAUUAGCUAGUUGGAGGGGUAAGGGCCCACCAAGGCGAUGAUCAGUAGCCGGUCUGAGAGGAUGAACGGCCACAUUGGGACUGAGACACGGCCCAGACUCCUACGGGAGGCAGCAGUGGGGAAUCUUCCGCAAUGGACGAAAGUCUGACGGAGCAACGCCGCGUGAGGGAUGACGGCCUUCGGGUUGUAAAGCUCUGUUAAUCGGGACGAAAGGCCUUCUUGCGAAUAGUGAGAAGGAUUGACGGUACCGGAAGAGAAAGCCACGGCUAACUACGUG
Molecule: ribosomal RNA, 510 nt
Filed under: uncultured bacterium
Lineage: Bacteria
Description: partial 16S ribosomal RNA
Rfam family: Bacterial small subunit ribosomal RNA
Source: RNAcentral